RNAcentral lists this ribosomal RNA (460 nucleotides) under uncultured bacterium. RNAcentral's name for it is "partial 16S ribosomal RNA". It matches the Rfam family "Bacterial small subunit ribosomal RNA", at positions 338 to 795 of the family's 1533-position model. The record is from RNAcentral.
CCUACGGGUGGCAGCAGUGAGGAAUAUUGGUCAAUGGACGAGAGUCUGAACCAGCCAAGUAGCGUGAAGGAUGACUGCCCUAUGGGUUGUAAACUUCUUUUAUAAAGGAAUAAAACGAGGCACGUGUGCCUUUUUGCAUGUACUUUAUGAAUAAGGAUCGGCUAACUCCGUGCCAGCAGCCGCGGUAAUACGGAGGAUCCGAGCGUUAUCCGGAUUUAUUGGGUUUAAAGGGAGCGUAGAUGGGUUGUUAAGUCAGUUGUGAAAGUUUGCGGCUCAACCGUAAAAUUGCAAUUGAUACUGGCAGUCGUGAGUACAGUUGAGGUAGGCGGAAUUCGUGGUGUAGCGGUGAAAUGCUUAGAUAUCACGAAGAACCCCGAUUGCGAAGGCAGCUUACUAAACUGUCACUGACAUUGAUGCUCGAAAGUGUGGGUAUCAAACAGGAUUAGAUACCCUGGUAGUC